Molecule: ribosomal RNA, 497 nt
Filed under: uncultured bacterium
Lineage: Bacteria
Description: partial 16S ribosomal RNA
Rfam family: Bacterial small subunit ribosomal RNA
Source: RNAcentral
GAUGAACGCUGGCGGCGUGCCUAAUACAUGCAAGUCGAGCGAACGGACGAGAAGCUUGCUUCUCUGAUGUUAGCGGCGGACGGGUGAGUAACACGUGGAUAACCUACCUAUAAGACUGGGAUAACUUCGGGAAACCGGAGCUAAUACCGGAUAAUAUUUUGAACCGCAUGGGUCAAAAGUGAAAGACGGUCUUGGUGUCACUUAUAGAUGGAUCCGCGCUGCAUUAGCUAGUUGGUAAGGUAACGGCUUACCAAGGCAACGAUGCAUAGCCGACCUGAGAGGGGGAUAGGCCACACGGGAAGUGAGACACGGUCCAGGCUCCUGCGGGAGGCAGCAGUAGGGAAUCUUCCGCAGUGGGCGAAAGCCUGACGGAGCGACGCCGCGUGAGUUAUGAAGGUCUUCGGAUCGUAAAACUCUGUUAUUAGGGAAGAACAUAUGUGUAAGUAACUGUGCACAUCUUGACGGUACCUGAUCAGAAAGCCACGGCUAACUACGUG